Hipposideros armiger (great roundleaf bat) is the source of this 1220-nucleotide long non-coding RNA. RefSeq lists it as uncharacterized. The transcript is spliced from 2 exons. Lineage: Eukaryota; Metazoa; Chordata; Mammalia; Chiroptera; Hipposideridae. The record is from RefSeq and is a predicted model, not a curated record.
UCGCCCCUUCCCGCCCCUUCCCACCCCGCCUCGCGAUGACGCACUCACCGCAGCGUUCUGGAACUUUCAUUCUCGCCCCCGCUCUGCGAACUGCCCCGGGGAGAGAGCGGGUGGGGCCGAGAGAGCCCGCGCGCGGGAGUCCUCAGUUACCCCGGGCGGGGGAAGGGCGCGUCCGCACCUGCGCAGGCGCACUCGAGAGCGCGGCCAUGAGGACGGAAGGAGGCGGGGGAAGAGGGCGGGCGAAUUUAGAACCAACCAAUGACGGCACUGCUCGAGCUCUGGAUCGGGGCGCAACACGAGAAGGGAGAGCGCAGGGCCUGAAGGGAGGGGUCCGGACCCUGCAGCUCGGGAGAGAAGACGGAAGUAGAGCGAGGACAAAAUGGCCGCGAAGAAAGACAACUCUGUCUCCCCAAAGAGGAAGGUGUGUACAGUGGCAGGCUCCUUUCAAUUUUCUUCGGUACCUGCAGUCUCCUUUUCCACUCAAUUUACCAAAUAUAGUCUCUGAACUGCACCCUAUAUUUUGCAGCUUUUGUAACUAACCUCUGAACUACCUACAACACUUGAACCAUUUGAACCAGUGGAAGAUAGAACUGGGACCCAAAUCCACUUGUUUGGGGUAUCCUAUCUAAUAGCCAUGAUUGAAGGAUGCAGAACAGAUAACCUCUGUUUCUGGUCAUUCUCAAAAUGCUUUCUAGGACUUGGGCUAUGUUCUUAUUAAAUACAAGAGUCUGAACUUUAUAUUUAAAGUUGAGGAUAGGAUGAAUGUCCUGUCUCCAUCUCCUAAAAUGCACAGGGUUGCAAAUACAUUCAGUAUCUAAAAUUAAAGUUUGGACUUCGGUGGAGGAGUCUGAGACAUAGGGUUUCUCACUUGGGAAAAGAAUCAUGAUUAACAUUUUUGAGUGCCUGUCACAUGCCAAGCGCUGUUCUUAGUGCUGUGUAUACAUUACCUCAAUUCUGUGAAGUUUUUUUUUUUCAGAUUGUUUUGAAUCUCUUAAUGUUUACGUCUCUUUAUCAAAUUUAUUUGAAUCCCUUAGUGUGUACUUUUCUGUUGGUACUUCCCCUUGGCAUACAAUACUUAAUAUUGUUAUUUUGAUAAAGCCCUUAAGGGCUGGAACUCUACCAUCACUUGGUAUCUCCAGUACUACUUAGCAUCCUGCCUUGUGAGAAAAAAGUACUUAGUUUAUUUGUGACUAAAAUCAAUAAAUGAUUGAUCAUAUUCA